This 262-nucleotide long non-coding RNA is filed under the name Lathyrus oleraceus (garden pea). RNAcentral's name for it is "Pisum sativum (pea) long non-coding RNA (PSAT_LNC018958)". The record is from RNAcentral. Lineage: Eukaryota; Viridiplantae; Streptophyta; Magnoliopsida; Fabales; Fabaceae.
AAAGAUGAGUGAAUAAAUAAUAUUAGAAUAAGAUUGCGAGAGAAAAUAUAAAAAAUACUGAAUAGGAAAAAGAAUUCAUGAAAUAUGUGAUGGAAUAAGAUCGAGAAAAUAGGAUCCCUACAAAUAGAAAUGAUCUUGAAAUUGAUUUGGUUAGAUCAAAAAGAAGGAAAAAGACCUUAAAAAGUAAAUAAAAAUAAUAAAAAUUGGUCAUACAAAAUAAGUUAUGGAAUAUUAAUGGAAUAAUACUAGACGGAAAAAAAAG